AUUGAACGCUGGCGGCAGGCUUAACACAUGCAAGUCGAGCGGGGUGAUGGUGCUUGCACUAUCACUUAGCGGCGGACGGGUGAGUAAUGCUUAGGAAUCUGCCUAUUAGUGGGGGACAACAUCUCGAAAGGGAUGCUAAUACCGCAUACGUCCUACGGGAGAAAGCAGGGGAUCACUUGUGACCUUGCGCUGAUAGAUGAGCCUAAGUCGGAUUAGCUAGUUGGUGGGGUAAAGGCCUACCAAGGCGACGAUCUGUAGCGGGUCUGAGAGGAUGGUCCGCCACACUGGGGCUGGGAAACGGCCCAGACUCCUACGGGAGGCAGCGGUGGGGAAUAUUGGACAAUGGGGGGAACCCUGAUCCAGCCAUGCCGCGUGUGUGAAGAAGGCCUUAUGGUUGUAAAGCACUUUAAGCGAGGAGGAGGCUCUUUUGGUUAAUACCCAAGAUGAGUGGACGUUACUCGCAGAAUAAGCACCGGCUAACUCUGUGCCAGCCGCCGCCGUAA
This 503-nucleotide ribosomal RNA is filed under the name uncultured bacterium. RNAcentral's name for it is "partial 16S ribosomal RNA". It matches the Rfam family "Bacterial small subunit ribosomal RNA", at positions 30 to 523 of the family's 1533-position model. The record is from RNAcentral.